UUUUUAUUUUUGAAAUCUUAGAAACUAUAGUUAAACAAUCAGAAGAGAACUGAAAAUAUCUAUAAUUACUACUGCACCAUUGACAUUGAUUUGUAUAACUUCCAGGUCCUUCUGAGAAUACGUUUUGAUGUAGGCAUAACAUUAUUAAGUAGAUAAGCUUCACAUUCUUAUUCCGAGAAGAUCCCUUGGAAAAUACGGGGGUUAGAAGAAAAAACAAAUGCUUUUGGGUUUCAGCAGCAUUAAUAUCAAACUGACUGUUCACAAAAGUUCUGCCACUUGAAUAUCGCUUUAGCCAUUUUUUGCAAAACAAUAAAAAAAAAAAAAAAAGAACGAGAAAAAAGAGAAAGUGUGUGCCGUGUGCCAGGCUGCUGUGAUGCAAAUACCGUCAGUCGACAUAAAGUAAUGGCCAGAAUGAAAACCCCAAACACAUAUGGCUGGUAGAAUAUCUGUGGCUAAUAAUUAUUUUUAAGGUUUUUUUUGAGAGAGAGAGCGCACACACGCAUAAAUAAAACAUUGAAAAAUAACAGUAAGUCCUUUUGAACUUACUUUGCUUAAGAAGUAGUGGACCAAAGGGAAACAUUCAAAUAUCAUCUGGAUUGAAUCUAAACCAAACUCAUAGUCCUUUUGAAUUUCUGCUUUGAGGAUCUGUGAGACUGAAGCAGGGUUUUCCACAUUCGCAGAGAUAGAUGAAGGGUUUCUGGGUCAUGCUGUGAGCGUAACUGGUCAUCAGAGGAAGUGGUACAGUCUGUCCGUAGGCUAGAACACACAGAGCGAUCUCUACGUGCACUUUGUAUCUGGUGCCGCAAAGGCUUUAGGGAUAUGGGGUGAACAACACAGAAAUGCAUUCCACCCUCCUUGAGUUCACUGUCCAGUGAGAUGACCAUUAAACAAACAAGUACUUAGUCCCAAAGGAGAACAAAUGACUUCAGUAGUGAAUAACUGAAGAGCCAAUCUUUGUCUCCAACCUUCAGAUGAAACCUCCCGGAGGAUCCAGUGGAAUGCCAAAGGUGAAGGAGGAGUUGGUCCCCACCUCAGCCCUUCCCCAGAACUUCUGGCAAGAGGCAACAGAACACCAAAGGCUCAGAGGCAGACAUUCACAAAACUAUAGGAAGACCUCUGUGGCUAAAGAAUAAGUGAAGGAGAGAUGGAGAGCUACACUCUCUGAAGGAGCCUGAUCAAAAGUGUGAAAGGAAGACCAGUCGUGUUCUCAAUUUCUUCAUUUCCAGGGAAGAGAUCUGACACAAGUGUGCACUGGCCUGGAUCCGCCUCCUCUUGGUUAAGGAGCCAUCUCUACAGUCAUCCUCUGUUCUGGGCAGUGGCAAGUGUGGAUUUUCUUAGCCCAGGCCAGCUGACCUCAGACAGCAGCGUUAUCUGCGGAGACCGACCCCAACCUGCUCUUGGCACGCCGACAUGUUGACAACACCUCUUCUUCUGCUGCUGGAAGCAGAUACAGUCUGCAAACACCAUCACACCAUCAUGAGAAUUCUCUCGGCCUCUUCCCACACCACGGACCCGUCCACACAGCAUUACCAUCAGGCAGGCAAGCUGAGGCAGCGAGAAUCUGCUUAUGCUGACAGCCGACACGUGGGUGGGUAGGCACCGUGCCCUAGAAGCAAGUACUAUUAAGGCUUAAGGAUGCAUGCUUGAAUUUAUAUAUUUGUAUAAGAUCAACCCCCCUCCUUCCUUUGUUCUGUCUCUGCGCUCCCUCAUUUCCCUUGAAUCUCUUUCAUGAUGGUGGUACAAUAGUACCUACUCCAGGGUGCUGUUAGGCAAGGAUUUCUACUUCUUCCCAUUAGCAUUUCAUUGUUCCAUAGGUUUUAGGUGUUCCUGUGCCCUGCUAGCCUGAGGACACCAGAAACUGUUCCAAUGGUCACUUCUAGCAGUUAGUGUUUACUACAUAACACAUUGCCCCUUGAUGGCUUAAAAUAACAACCAGUUUUUAGCUCACAACUCUGCCGUUUGGCCAUUUGGACUGAGUGUAUGUAGAUAGUUCUGGCUGGGGAUUCGCUGGUUGAAGGGCCUCAGUUGAAAUGGCUUAUCUCUACUUUGCACAGUUUCUCAUCUUCCAGCAGGCUAUCCCAGAAUGGUCACCUGGUGACUGCAGUUUUCCAAGAACAAAACAUCGGAAGUUGCAAGGCCUCUUCCCCCCACCCCUAGUUUUGUUGAGAAAUAAUUGGCAUAUAUCAUUAUAUAAGUUCAAGGUGUAGCACAUGAUGGUUUAAUUUACAUAUGUCAUGAAAUGAGCACCACAAUAGGUUUAGUUAAUAUCCAUCUUCUCAUAUAGAUACAAUAAAAAGAAAAAAAUUCUUACAACGAGUGUUCUUAGGAUUUACCGUCUUAACGAUUUUCCUAGAUAUCAUCCAGCAGCGUAGCUAAAGUCAUCAUGUACAUUACAUCCCUAGUGCUUAUCUAUCUUACUACUGGAGGUUUGUACCUUCUGACCACCAAUUCCCUCUCCCUUCCCUCUUGCCUCAAGCAGCUACAAGGCUUUUUCCAUAUCUCUUUUCUUACGAGUUUGAUUUUUUAAAAUUUUUCAUUAGAGUCUACGUAUAAGUGAGAUCAUACAGGAUUUGUCUAUCUCUGACUUAUUUCACUUAGCAUAAUUUCUUCAAAGUCCAUCCGUGUGUUGUAGAUGAUAAGACUUCCUUUUUUUAUGGCUUACUAACCUUCCAUUUUACACACACACACACACACACACACACACACACACACACAUAAGUAUGCGUGUGGGCCACCUCUUCUUUAUCCAUUCAUCCAUCAGUGGACACUUAGGUUAUUUCCAAGUCUUGGCUAUUGCAAAUAAUGCUGCUAGGAACAUGUCGAUGCAGAUAUAGUUUCAAGUUAGUGUUUUCAUUUCCUUUGGAUAUAUUCCCAGAAGUGGAAUGGCUGGAUCAUACAGUAGGUCUAUUUUUAAUUUUUUGAGGAAACUCCAUACUGGUUUCCAUAGUAGUUGCACCCAUUUCCAAUUCCACCAACAGUGCACAAGGGUUCCCUUUUCUCCACACCCUCACCAGCACUUGCUAUCUCUUGUCUUUUUGAUGAUGGUCAUUCCAGCAGGCAUGAGGUAAUGACUCAGUGUGGUUUUAAUUUGCAUUUCCCUAAUGACCAGUGAUAUUGAGCAUCUUUUUAUGUACCUGUUGGCUUUUUGUAGUUUUUCUAUGGAAAAAUGCCUCUUCAGGUCCUUUGACCAUUUUUUUUAAGUUGGAUUAUUUGUAUUUUUAACUAUUGAGUCGUAUGAGUUCUUUGUGUAUUUUGGACAUUAGCCCCUUAGGUAGUUUGCAAAUAUUUCCCCCAUUCUGUAGGUUAUCUUUUCACUUUGUUGAUGGUUUCUUUUGCUGUGCAGAAGCUUUUGAUGUGGUCUCAAUUUAUUUUUGAUUUUGUUGCUUGUGCUCUAGGUGUGGUUUCCAAAAACUCACUACCAAGGCCCAUGUCAAAGAGUUUUGUUUGUUUUCUUUUAGGAGUUUCAAG
This is a long non-coding RNA of Acinonyx jubatus (cheetah), 3468 nucleotides long. RefSeq lists it as uncharacterized. The transcript has 3 exons. Lineage: Eukaryota; Metazoa; Chordata; Mammalia; Carnivora; Felidae. The record is from RefSeq and is a predicted model, not a curated record.